AAGAAUUUGUGGCUAUAUCAUUACUCUUUAAAUAUUGGACACUAUCUCUUAUUGUGUUUUUACAAAUAUAAGUUAAAAGUCAAACUAUAAAAUUUUGUGUAUGUAUUAUUUAUUCAUGCUCGUUUGAUGUAUUUUAAAAUUAAGACUGAGCAUUUUCUUCUUGUAUUUGCAAUUGACCAUUUUCUUCUUGUAAGAAGUAGGGGGUGGGCAUUAACCAAUUCAGGUUGUUUUGCCCCAGAACCAAAUCCAACCCUAGUGAUAAGUCUAUUUUUCUUUAACUUUUUCAAUUUCAUGGGUGUACUUUGAGUAAUAAUUUUGCAUUAGAAUCAUUUUGAGCAUAUGAAUAUAUGAUUCUGAAGCAUUCAUGACAGAGUAUUUGAAAAUCUUACAAAGUUAAAACUCUAAAGGAAUUAAAACUACUAGAUAGAGUUGUACUGGGAGAAUGGUUUAUUAUGGCUGUAUUGUAUAUGUUCUUUGUGCAAAGUUAUGUUAUUUAUAUGUAGGGCUAGAUACUUCACAUGGUAAGAAAGUUCUCACGGCAAGAAUCACUAUUUAAUUAUACAAUGAUUUCAUGAGAUUAUUCUUCCCAUAUCCAUAAUCUUGUUAGAUCUCUUUCCUGUACAGAUUCUUACUUUGUAUCCAAGAUUAUUGCUUGAUAGCUUUUACACGAUUAUGGGCAUCUGAUUUGGACUCUUUUCUAAGUCCUUUUACUUAACACGAAAUAGAUCGUCCCACUCAAAAUUAUGUCACAAAAUAGCUACUGGCCAAGCUAUUUUUCCAACAAUUUGUGCGAUAACAAAUUCUUGAUUCUAAUAUUUUUCUUCAUUAUUCAACCCACCUUAUCCAACCCCCAAGAUGACAAAUACAAAUUCGAUCAACUCUCUUCUAAGUUUCAUCACUUAGUGGUGCAAGGAAUUUGAUUUCUAAACCUCUACUUCAACUAUAUUAAAAAUUAAAACAAUAUUUUUAUUUUUGUGUAUUGUAGAUAUGAGUGUAUUUUACAUGUAACAUAUGAGUGUUAUUUUACAUGAAUGUAAGACUUGUCACAUGUAACAUAUAAAGGACAUGCCGCGACACAUACAAAACAUGCCAUUUAGAAGAAAUAACGAUAACCUCUUGUAAUGAUCAUGUUUUACAUACUAGAUAUUAACUCUUAUCUUGCUUCUAUAAAUAUAUGUCAAAAGGUGGAACCACAUAAAAUUUGUAUAAUGUAUUAUUUAUAAUUUCAUGCUCAUUUUGAUAUAUUUUUAUUGACCAUUUUCUUCUCGUAAGAAGCACUGUACUAAGCAGGCCUCACUCUACAAAUUCUCUAGAUCAUCCCUUCUAUCUUAUUGAGACCUCAACUUGGUCUUCGCAAUCUCCAGAUGAUGUUAGUUUACCGACAUUGAUACGAAAAAUUUAUUUUAUUUCUUGGACGUUCAUAAUUAAUCUUUUACUUUGACUAGAUUACUUGUGCCCUUUACUUUAGUUGGGGGGCCGUCAAAUUGCCGGUUGUCUUGUUAGUUGAAUAUAGAGAAAUAUCAACGGCAUUAAUCUAAUUUAGCCUUCCAAUUUAAUAAAGAAACUAGCUCGGCGCCGUUAGUUAUAUAUGUUGCCGACCUCAUUGACAAUGUUAAUCAAAAUUUAACAUAUUUUCCAUGCAUAAAAAAAGUAGUUUCAUUUAGUAUUGAAAUUGGGUAAUUGUAGUUAAAAAAGUAUUUGGUAAACACUUAUGUUGAAGUUUAGAAAUUAAGAUGAUUUAAACCUACACUUGUAUGAUGAAAAACCUACAAUAUUUUUACUAAUUAU
RNAcentral lists this long non-coding RNA (1788 nucleotides) under Citrus x clementina. RNAcentral's name for it is "Citrus clementina (C. clementina) long non-coding RNA (CCLE_LNC001083)". The record is from RNAcentral. Lineage: Eukaryota; Viridiplantae; Streptophyta; Magnoliopsida; Sapindales; Rutaceae.